GUAUUGUAUUGCGUUAAACGCGACAUACAUUCCAUAGGACUUUAUUACAGUGUGUGUGUAAAUAUGUAGAACCACAGCAAGAGGACAGAGUCCCCCAUGCUAUAGAACUACAGAGGGUGCACAGGUGUGAGUGGAUGUGUGAACAGAGCGUGCACAUGCCCCCAUGUUUGAGGACCAGCAACAGCUCAUGUUGACAACUCAGUAAUGAUCCUUCCGCAGGUUCACCUACGGAAA
Molecule: unclassified non-coding RNA, 234 nt
Filed under: uncultured fungus
Lineage: Eukaryota; Fungi
Description: sequence contains ITS1
Source: RNAcentral